Ovis aries (sheep) is the source of this 72-nucleotide transfer RNA. It matches the Rfam family "tRNA". From Rfam's summary of the family: Transfer RNA (tRNA) molecules are approximately 80 nucleotides in length. Their secondary structure includes four short double-helical elements and three loops (D, anti-codon, and T loops). NCBI's taxonomy places the organism in Eukaryota, Metazoa, Chordata, Mammalia, Artiodactyla, Bovidae. The record is from Rfam.
UCCCUGGUGGCUCAGAUGGUAAAGCGUCUGCCUGCAAUGCGGGAGACCUGGGUUCGAUCCCUGGGUUGGGAA